CCCGCCCGCGAGGGCUGCCCCUGCCGUUGGCCGCGCAGCCAUCCCGAACCGGUGAGCUGGAGCAGCGUGGCCGCGCGGCGGCAGACGCGAGCGGCGGGCGUCCCGCUAGGGGGCAGGCAGCGCUCACCCAACGCCUCUGCGCCGCGGGGCCCGAGCCGCCGCGGCGAGUCGUCACCCGCAGGUUUUUAUGAACUCUUAAGAGCGUAAGUGUGGGCUAUUCCGGGACAGGAAUCACAUCUUAAGGGCUGAUUGUCCACCAGGAAUUUGACUGACAGACCCCGACCACGGAGAUUGUUUGCUCUGCACCACAGCCUUUCUGCUUCGUGCUAAGGGAUAUGAGUGGGAUGGUAACAGAUGAUUCAAAGGGGCAGAUGUGACCCAAAAUCCAUGCAAAGCUUCUGCUGAAGAAGGAAUCACCUGAGGUGAAGGGCACUUUCAAGGCUCCUGAGAUCGAAAGGGGUGCAGUGAAGCUCUGCUGAUUAGCCUCCUGCUAAUUCCUCUGGAAAGGCUGUUUUUUACUAUGGAGAUUCCAAGUCUGGUUUAUUUUUUCACCAGUUUUGAGACACACAGACUCUGUGGGAUCAAGAUGUUGCUGGUUUAAGCCACAGCUGUAAUACAUCACAGCGUUCUGUCAGCACACAACGACCUGCACUGCAGUGCCAGCCAUCUCUAAGGACUGUCACAAGGAAGCUGCCAUCCUUCAGAUUCUAUCCACCACAAUUCUGGAAUUCUAGUCAGAGUUCUUUUUACCUGCCCUUUAAUAUGAUGAAUCUGC
Molecule: long non-coding RNA, 775 nt
Filed under: Gallus gallus (chicken)
Lineage: Eukaryota; Metazoa; Chordata; Aves; Galliformes; Phasianidae
Description: long non-coding RNA NONGGAT011869
Source: RNAcentral